GAGUUAGCCUUAUUUAAUAUAAUAAGAGAGAGAUGCUUUUCAUAGCGUAGUCGUAGUUUCGUACCCAAGAUAAUGGGAAUCAACUUGCUUGCCCUCUGACCUUCUGAUAUGGCGCGGAGCCCAAGAAUCCGACAUGAAGAAGUGAAGAUUUACAUAGUGGUUUGGUCGAGCACGUCCUCGAUCAUGCACCGUAAGAACUGCUCCACUCCCUGACCGUUCACUCUUCGUGACAGUGAUGGCUGGCGGAAGAACUACCACAAGGGGUCCUAAGUCUUUGUCUAGGGUCAAGGGGAG
This 294-nucleotide unclassified non-coding RNA is filed under the name Hevea brasiliensis (rubber tree). Lineage: Eukaryota; Viridiplantae; Streptophyta; Magnoliopsida; Malpighiales; Euphorbiaceae. The record is from RNAcentral.